This 254-nucleotide ribosomal RNA is filed under the name uncultured Planctomycetota bacterium. RNAcentral describes it as "uncultured planctomycete partial 16S ribosomal RNA". It matches the Rfam family "Bacterial small subunit ribosomal RNA", at positions 571 to 823 of the family's 1533-position model. Lineage: Bacteria; Pseudomonadati; Planctomycetota. The record is from RNAcentral.
GUAGGUGGGUUUGUAAGUCAGAUGUGAAAGCCUUCUGUUCAACGGAAGAAUUGCAUCUGAAACUACUGAUCUUGAGUAUAGGAGGGGAGAAUGGAACUUCUGGUGGAGCGGUGAAAUGCGUAGAUAUCAGAAGGAACGCCGGCGGCGAAAGCGAUUCUCUGGCCUAUUACUGACACUCAGUGUGCGAAAGCUAGGGGAGCAAACGGGAUUAGAUACCCCGGUAGUCCUAGCCGUAAACGAUGGGCACUAAGUAG